This 301-nucleotide ribosomal RNA is filed under the name uncultured bacterium. Its description in RNAcentral is "partial 16S ribosomal RNA". It matches the Rfam family "Bacterial small subunit ribosomal RNA", at positions 509 to 807 of the family's 1533-position model. The record is from RNAcentral.
CAGUAGCCACGGUAAUACGUAGGUGGCAAGCGUUGUCCGGAAUUAUUGGGCGUAAAGGGCUCGCAGGCGGUUUCUUAAGUCUGAUGUGAAAGCCCCCAGCUCAACCGGGGAGGGUCAUUGGAAACUGGGAAACUUGAGUGCAGAAGAGGAGAGUGGAAUUCCACGUGUAGCGGUGAAAUGCGUAGAGAUGUGGAGGAACACCAGUGGCGAAAGCGACUCUCUGGUCUGUAACUGACGCUGAGGAGCGAAAGCGUGGGGAGCGAACAGGAUUAGAUACCCCCGUAGUCCCUGUCUCUUAUAC